Molecule: ribosomal RNA, 135 nt
Filed under: Cyclotella sp.
Lineage: Eukaryota; Bacillariophyta; Thalassiosirophyceae; Thalassiosirales; Thalassiosiraceae
Description: partial small subunit ribosomal RNA
Rfam family: Eukaryotic small subunit ribosomal RNA
Source: RNAcentral
CGCCCGUCGCACCUACCGAUUGGAUGGUCCGGUGAGGAGUCGGGAUUGUGGCUUGGUUCCUUCAUUGGGAUCUGGCCGUGAGAACCUCUCCAAACCUUAUCAUCUAGAGGAAGGUGAAGUCGUAACAAGGUUUCC